Molecule: ribosomal RNA, 343 nt
Filed under: uncultured Acidobacteriota bacterium
Lineage: Bacteria; Pseudomonadati; Acidobacteriota
Description: bacterial SSU rRNA
Rfam family: Bacterial small subunit ribosomal RNA
Source: RNAcentral
GAUCCUGGCUCAGAAUCAACGCUGGCGGCGUGCCUUAACCCGUGCAAGUCGAACGCGAAAGGGGCUUCGGCCCUGAGUAGAGUGGCGUCCGGGUGAGUAACGCGUGGGUAAUCUGCCUCUGGGUGGGGAAUAACUCAGGGAAACUUGAGCUAAUACCGCAUAAUGCAGCGGCUCGACAUCGAGACAGUUGUUAAAGCAGAAAUGCGCCUAGAGAGGAGCCCGCGUCCGAUUAGCUAGUUGGGAGGGUAAUGGCCUACCAAGGCGACGAUCGGUAGCUGGUCUGAGAGGACGGCCAGCCACAAUGGCACUGAAACACGGGCCAUACUCCUACGGGAGGCAGCAG